AUUGAACGCUGGCGGAAUGCUUUACACAUGCAAGUCGAACGAUGAACCUUAGCUUGCUAAGGGGAUUAGUGGCGAACGGGUGAGUAAUGUAUCGGAACGUAUCCAAUAAUGGGGGAUAACUAGUCGAAAGAUUAGCUAAUACCGCAUACGUCCUACGGGAGAAAGCUAGGGACCUUCGGGCCUGGCGUUAAUGGAGCGGCCGAUAUCUGAUUAGCUAGUUGGUGGGGUAAAGGCUCACCAAGGCGACGAUCAGUAGCUGGUCUGAGAGGACGACCAGCCACACUGGAACUGAGACACGGUCCAGACUCCUACGGGAGACAGCAGUGGGGAAUUUUGGACAAUGGGCGAAAGCCUGAUCCAGCCAUUCCGCGUGAGUGAAGAAGGCCUUCGGGUAGUAAAGCUCUUUCGCAAGGGAAGAAAACUUAAGCUCUAACAUAGCUUGAGGUUGACGGUACCUUGAUAAGAAGCACCGGCUAACUACGUGCCAGCCGCCGCCGUAA
RNAcentral lists this ribosomal RNA (500 nucleotides) under uncultured bacterium. RNAcentral's name for it is "partial 16S ribosomal RNA". It matches the Rfam family "Bacterial small subunit ribosomal RNA", at positions 30 to 523 of the family's 1533-position model. The record is from RNAcentral.